This is a long non-coding RNA of Oreochromis aureus, 511 nucleotides long. RefSeq lists it as uncharacterized. The record is from RefSeq and is a predicted model, not a curated record. The transcript has 2 exons. Lineage: Eukaryota; Metazoa; Chordata; Actinopteri; Cichliformes; Cichlidae.
CACGUAGCAGUCUCCUCUGUGCCGCUUCUCCACCUUCAGCUUGCUGCCAUAAUUCCGGUGUUUACCUUCAGGACUAGUUGGAAAGUAUCGAUGGGGUUUCCACAGGGAGGCGGUGACGCAGCCACAAUGACGAAGCACUAAGUACUGGUGAUGGGUGGAGAUCAGAGGUGGGAGCUUUUCUUAAAAUCCUCAUGGGUUUCUUAUUUAGUUCUCACACAGUCUAUAAAGCAAAGAUGGUGCUUUUUUCUCACACACGCAAAGACAUUUUUGUUUGAGGCUGUCUUUACAGGUGAGUGUGUCCCUGCAGCGGCACAGCUGAGGGGACUGACUCGGGGUAGAUGGGGCUGCUCUGCCACCUAUAUGACAGCUUUACGCUGACUCCACACAGAGGCGCUGUUGUGCAUGCAUGUGUCAGAGUGCAGGUAAUGCUACAGUCACCAAGGAACUAUUAUAUUUACUGAGACGUGUUUCUGUAUAUGUAUCACGAGUUAAUAAAAGUUGUGUUACUGCA